This 243-nucleotide ribosomal RNA is filed under the name uncultured bacterium. RNAcentral's name for it is "partial 16S ribosomal RNA". It matches the Rfam family "Bacterial small subunit ribosomal RNA", at positions 524 to 763 of the family's 1533-position model. The record is from RNAcentral.
UACGAAGGGUGCAAACGUUGCUCGGAAUUAUUGGGCGUAAAGGGCGCGUAGGCGGUCUGUUGCGUCCGCUGUGAAAACUCGGGGCUUAACCCCGAGCCUGCAGUGGAUACGGGCAGACUAGAGGUAGGUAGGGGAGAAUGGAAUUCCCGGUGUAGCGGUGAAAUGCGCAGAUAUCGGGAGGAACACCGGUGGCGAAGGCGGUUCUCUGGGCCUUACCCGUGGCGUCUGAGGAGCGAAAGCGUG